Long non-coding RNA from Carlito syrichta (Philippine tarsier), 776 nucleotides. RefSeq lists it as uncharacterized. The record is from RefSeq and is a predicted model, not a curated record. Lineage: Eukaryota; Metazoa; Chordata; Mammalia; Primates; Tarsiidae. The transcript is spliced from 6 exons.
AAGGCUAGAAUGCCUUCAUUAGCUGAGUAAACGUAUUGAGUGUUAUGCUCUUGGAUCAAUAUCAGGCAUGAUUCUACCACAAUGAAAAAGAAAAACCCAGUUCCUGUUGUUUAGAGCCAUCAGAUGGAAAAAAAAUCUCAGCUAUGAGCAAGAUUGUCAAGUGGAGCCUAGUUGCAGUUGGCAUUGCCUGAUGAAGAAGAUGUCUCCUGAGAAGAAGGCUACUGUAAAACCAAUAACAUGAAGGUGAAUUUGGUUUGGAGCUCCACCUGUAGUCUCUUUGAAGACUGGUAUCUCCUGUCACCAAGAACAUUUACUAGUCUGAGAUGAGUCCUUGUGCAUGCUUGGAAAGAAAGGUGGAAAACUAGCUCUCUAUCAGAGGAUGCCUGGGACUCAUUUCAUGGCUGUCAGAGUUCCUUUACAAAAGGUUUUCAUGGAUGUAAGCUUAGAGCCCUCAGAAGAUGAGCAAGUUUCUCAAGGGUAUCCUAGUUGGAAUCAGAAUUACCUGAUGAAGAAGAUGUCCCUUGAGAGGAAAGCUACUCAAAACUAGUAACAUGAAGAUGAAUCUGUGGUUUGGAGCUCUACCUACAGUCUUUUUGAAGACUGGGAUCUCCUGUCGCCAAGAAAAAUGACUAGUUUGAAAUGAGUUCAUCUGCAAGCUUGGAAAGAAAGGUCUUUAAAGGACACAUAUCGUUGAAGUUAGGGCUCACUCUAAUAGUCAAAAAUAAUCUCCUCAUAUCAAGAUCUGUAAUCACAUCCAAAGACUCAUUUUCUACAAG